UACGUAGGGGGCAAGCGUUGUCCGGAAUCACUGGGCGUAAAGCGCACGUAGGCGGAUCUUUAAGUCAGGGGUGAAAUCCCAAGGCUCAACCUUGGAACUGCCUUUGAUACUGGGGAUCUCGAGUCCGGAAGAGGUGAGUGGAACUGCGAGUGUAGAGGUGAAAUUCGUAGAUAUUCGCAAGAACACCAGUGGCGAAGGCGGCUCACUGGUCCGGUACUGACGCUGAGGUGCGAAAGCGUGGGGAGCAAACAGG
Molecule: ribosomal RNA, 253 nt
Filed under: uncultured bacterium
Lineage: Bacteria
Description: partial 16S ribosomal RNA
Rfam family: Bacterial small subunit ribosomal RNA
Source: RNAcentral